UUCCAACUUAUUUCUUCUUUUCUAUGUCGUUUUAAAAAUGAGUAAAAUCUGCAUCGAAACUAUCUUCGAUGAUCUGUUUAUCGCGCGAAUUAACGGAUCGAAUCGAUACAAAGAGAAAAAAACCAUGACACGAUUCGAUUAUCUACUCUCCGGAUCUCAGCCACAAUACGUAAGAAAUGAGAGACGGAGAGAGCGAAGAAACAUCCGGGUAGUACGUGAAACACGUGACCUCACGUCAAGUUUUCACCUUCAUUGACCCGUCUGUGGGAGUACCUGUACUCACCUGGUGGCCGGACGCAGAAAUCAUCUCUUUUCUACUUUCCUUUCUGUGCCGGACACAACACGGGAGGCCCUCGACAUUAAUAGUGGAGUAUUGGGGCGUAUUUCUAUUGACGGCUGUGUGUGUUAGGUAUAGAAUGAACAGCUUCCCUCCUCCCUUUCACAUCCAUACAGCUGUCUGUGCCCAACAUCAUAUUAGCUUGACAAAGUGGUAGGUGAAAGAGAUGACGAUACUUUUCUAUCCUAUUUGGAAAACUUGGGAUUAUACAGCAUCUGCGAAAAUACAUUAUAUUAAUAUUUAAAAGAAUAAUCUGGAUUUUGAGUUAGCUAAUUACACCCGGCUUUUGCUCUAGUAAUAUUUUUUCCGUCGAGAAAAAAUAUUUAGGAGUAUAGCAGAGAUGAAGUCGUAAUUAGAUUCCCACCAGGUUUAAUCAUAACCCAAUUGCAGUUGUGUGUAUAGAGAGAAGAACUUGGCUUCUCUUGUUAGCGAAAGAACUCCCCCUGAACUUCACUUAAUUCCAGAUCACUAACGAGAUGGAACUCUCCUUCUUAUCUCCGUGCAGGGUACCAAGUUACCAACUAUAUUGUCUGCUGGUGCUUCGGGUGUGGCCAGGGACAGAACAACGGUGGGAGUUUAGCCCCAGGGCUGGUGUAAUACAACGCUGUGUUGUCAUAGUAACCAAGCGCUAUUUUUCUUUUCGCAUUGGGAAGCGUAGGAAGUAAGGAGAAUGUAUUGGCUGCACCCAACCUGCUGACUAAGCUAGAAGGGUUUCAUUUUCUAGUCAAGUAAUAGAAAUAACCCCUCUUUCUCUGGCAAUUAAGGAAGCUUAAUUGAAAAGUGAAAUGUUCCAGCUGCCUUCAACUCUUUUCUCCUAGCAAGUUUUUCCAUCGGAUUGAAUUAAAAAUUGAAC
This 1190-nucleotide long non-coding RNA is filed under the name Androctonus crassicauda. The record is from RNAcentral. Lineage: Eukaryota; Metazoa; Arthropoda; Arachnida; Scorpiones; Buthidae.